This 848-nucleotide ribosomal RNA is filed under the name uncultured fungus. RNAcentral describes it as "eukaryotic LSU rRNA". The stretch from base 1 to 241 matches the Rfam family "Eukaryotic small subunit ribosomal RNA", at positions 1593 to 1831 of the family's 1831-position model. The record is from RNAcentral. Lineage: Eukaryota; Fungi.
UUGCUCUUCAACGAGGAAUUCCUAGUAAGCGUGAGUCAUCAGCUCGCGUUGAUUACGUCCCUGCCCUUUGUACACACCGCCCGUCGCUACUACCGAUUGAAUGGCUUAGUGAGACCUCCGGAUUGGCUUCGGGGAGCCGGCAACGGCACCCUGUCGCUGAGAAGCUGGUCAAACUUGGUCAUUUAGAGGAAGUAAAAGUCGUAACAAGGUUUCCGUAGGUGAACCUGCGGAAGGAUCAUUAGCGAAGUUCGGAAUGCCGGUUCGGUGCUGAAGCUGCCCAGCGAUGGGAUGUGCUCGUCCGGGCCGGUGUCCCUUCUCUAUUCCACCCCACUGUGAACCAAGCGUGCGAGCAGAAGAGAGAUCGGAAGCUCGCAUGCACACUUUAACAUACCCCUUAUGAAGUAUCUGAAUGUACCUUGCGUUAACUCGCACAAAUACAACUUUCAACAACGGAUCUCUUGGCUCUCGCAUCGAUGAAGAACGCAGCGAAAUGCGAUAAGUAAUGUGAAUUGCAGAAUUCAGUGAAUCAUCGAAUCUUUGAACGCACCUUGCGCCCCUUGGCAUUCCGAGGGGCACGCCUGUUCGAGUGUCGUGAACUCCUCCACCCUCUACCUUUUUCGAAGGGUUGUUGGGCUGGGAUUUGGGAGCUUGCGGGUCCCUGGCCGAUCCGCUCUCCUUGAAUACAUUAGCGAAGCCCUUGCGGCCUUGGUGUGAUAGUCAUCUACGCCUCGGCUUAGCGAACCUGUGGGAGUCGCUUCCAACCGUCCCUCUGCGGACAAUCACUACCAACUUGACCUCGAAUCAGGCGGGACUACCCGCUGAACUUAAGCAUAUCAAUAAGCGGAGGA